RNAcentral lists this ribosomal RNA (451 nucleotides) under uncultured bacterium. RNAcentral describes it as "partial 16S ribosomal RNA". It matches the Rfam family "Bacterial small subunit ribosomal RNA", at positions 28 to 507 of the family's 1533-position model. The record is from RNAcentral.
GAUGAACGCUGGCGGCGUGCCUAACACAUGCAAGUCGAGCGGCAGCGCGGGGUGCUUGCACCCUGUCGGCGAGCGGCGGACGGCUGAGUAACGCGUGGGAACGUGCCCCAAAGUGAGGAAUAACUGCCCGAAAGGGUAGCUAAUACCGCAUAUUAUCUUCGGAUCAAAGGAUUUAUCCGCUUUGGGAGCGGCUCGCGUCGGAUUAGGUAGUUGGUGAGGUAAUGGCUCACCAAGCCGACGAUCCGUAGCUGGUCUGAGAGGAUGACCAGCCAGACUGGAACUGAGACACGGUCCAGACUCGUACGGGAGGCAGCAGUGAGGAAUCUUACACAAUGGGCGAAAGCCUGAUGAAGCAACGCCGCGGGCAGGACGAAGGCCUUCGGGUUGUAAACUGCUUUUAUAAGUGAGGAAUAUGACGGUAACUUAUGAAUAAGGAUCGGCUAACUACGUG